RNAcentral lists this ribosomal RNA (22 nucleotides) under Aspergillus flavus. RNAcentral's name for it is "partial 28S ribosomal RNA". The record is from RNAcentral. Lineage: Eukaryota; Fungi; Ascomycota; Eurotiomycetes; Eurotiales; Aspergillaceae.
UCGGAUCAGGUAGGGAUACCCU